UACGUAGGUGGCAAGCGUUGUCCGGAAUUAUUGGGCGUAAAGCGCGCGCAGGCGGUCCUUUAAGUCUGAUGUGAAAGCCCACGGCUCAACCGUGGAAGGUCAUUGGAAACUGGAGGACUUGAGUACAGAAGAGGAAAGCGGAAUUCCACGUGUAGCGGUGAAAUGCGUAGAGAUGUGGAGGAACACCAGUGGCGAAGGCGGCUUCCUGGUCCAGCACCGACGUUCAGGCACGAAAGCGUGGGGAGCAAACAGG
RNAcentral lists this ribosomal RNA (253 nucleotides) under uncultured bacterium. RNAcentral describes it as "partial 16S ribosomal RNA". It matches the Rfam family "Bacterial small subunit ribosomal RNA", at positions 524 to 776 of the family's 1533-position model. The record is from RNAcentral.